GUGUGAAGUGACUUGAGAAUUUUAUCCUGAGAGAUGAAGUGUGUAUGUAUUAUCAACAGACACCAUUUCUGAUCCAUUACUCUAUAUUCAUACAUUUUCACAUAGGUUAACAAUUGCAACAAUAAAUAAAUAAAUACAUGAGCUAGAAACAAAAGUACAAUUAGGAUAAAUUACAUAUCCUGAUGUCAACCGUUUCAUGCAUUUGAUGUUGGAAACAAAAGGGAAGACACCCCAAACCAAAUCAAACCAACAGAACUCAAUCAACUAGGCUUGAUUUUCCUCUCAAGUGCCUCCAUUUUUAGCUCAUAAAGACCACUUUCAUUCAGCUAUUUUGCUUAAUAAGCUUUGCAGAUUAACCAUAAAAAGGUAAUGGAAUAAUUUUAUAGUAGAAACAGUUAUAAAAACAAAGAAAAAGAAAUAACACAUUAAAAGAGAAAAAUGAAGGGAUUAUGUUGGUAAAACAUGAGCAAUAGAUUAAAGAUGCGGCCUACUAUGUGGAUUUUUUUUUUCUAUAUAUUAAUGGAUAGGUUUUGGAAGGCUGGAUUGGAGGGAUGGGUGGCCUCUAUGCUUGUGAUAUACAUAGAGCGGGGCCAAAGUAAUUUCCCAGGUGAUAAGAUCCAAAGAAAUCAUUCUUGAGCCCCUUUUAUGGCUCUCAAAAGUUCGUCUUCAGAAAAAAUUCUUUUUAGCACAUAAUAAGUCCCCUCCACGUACAAGCUCUCACUAGAUCGGGCUAAGAUGGCUGAGGUAUUUGCCGCAUGUAGUUUUGCAGGAUGUUUCCCACCUUGAAAUACAUCUUCAC
This 799-nucleotide long non-coding RNA is filed under the name Olea europaea subsp. europaea. The record is from RNAcentral. Lineage: Eukaryota; Viridiplantae; Streptophyta; Magnoliopsida; Lamiales; Oleaceae.